UGGGGAGUACGGCCGCAAGGUUAAAACUCAAUUGAAUUGACGGGGGCCCGCACAAGCGGUGGAGCAUGUGGUUUAUUUCGAUGCAACGCGAAGAACCUAACCUACUCUUGACAUCCAGAGAACUUAGAAAAGAUGCUUUGGUGCCUUCGGGAACUCUGAGACAGUUGCUGCAUGGCGGUCGUCAGCUCGUGUUGUGAAUUGUUGGGUUAAGUCCCGCAACGAGCGCAACCUUUUUCCUUUGUUGCCAGCGGUUCGGUCGGGAACUCAAAGGAGACUGCCAGUGAUAAACUGGAGGAAGGUGGGGAUGACGUCAAGUCAUCAUGGCCCUUACGGGUAGGGCUACACACGUGCUACAAUGGUAUAUACAGAGAGAAGCGACCUCGCGAGAGCAAGCGGACCUCAUAAAGUAUGUCGUAGUCCGGAUUGGAGUCUGCAACUCGACUCCAUGAAGUCGGAAUCGCUAGUAAUCGUGGAUCAGAAUGCCACGGUGAAUACGUUCCCGGGCCUUGUACACACCGCCCGUCACACCAUGGGAGUGGG
This 540-nucleotide ribosomal RNA is filed under the name Klebsiella oxytoca. RNAcentral's name for it is "bacterial SSU rRNA". It matches the Rfam family "Bacterial small subunit ribosomal RNA", at positions 874 to 1414 of the family's 1533-position model. The record is from RNAcentral. Lineage: Bacteria; Pseudomonadati; Pseudomonadota; Gammaproteobacteria; Enterobacterales; Enterobacteriaceae.